UAGGGUUCGAUUAUGGCUCAGAUUGAACGCUGGCGGUAGGCUUAACACAUGCAAGUCGUGCGAGAAAGUAUCUUCGGAUAUGAGUAGAGCGGCGGACGGGUGAGUAACGCGUAGGAAUCUACCUAGUAGAAGGGGAUAGCCCGAGGAAACUCGGAUUAAUACCGUAUACCUCCUUCGGGAGAAAGAAGGCCUCUCUUUGAAGCUUUCGCUACUAGAUGAGCCUGCGUAAGAUUAGCUUGUUGGUGAGGUAAAGGCUCACCAAGGCGACGAUCUUUAGCGGGUCUGAGAGGACGAUCCGCCACAUUGGGACUGAGACACGGCCCAGACUCCUACGGGAGGCAGCAGUGGGGAAUAUUGGACAAUGGGCGCAAGCCUGAUCCAGCCAUACCGCGUGUGUGAAGAAGGCCCUAGGGUUGUAAAGCACUUUAAGUUGGGAAGAAAAGUUAUUGGUUAAUACCCAAUGACCGUGACAUUACCAUCAGAAUAAGGACCGGCUAAUUCCGUGCCAGCAGCCGCGGUAAUUCA
This 525-nucleotide ribosomal RNA is filed under the name uncultured SAR86 cluster bacterium. RNAcentral describes it as "bacterial SSU rRNA". It matches the Rfam family "Bacterial small subunit ribosomal RNA", at positions 1 to 527 of the family's 1533-position model. The record is from RNAcentral. Lineage: Bacteria; Pseudomonadati; Pseudomonadota; Gammaproteobacteria.